GACGGGGGGGGCAAGUGUUCUUCGGAAUGACUGGGCGUAAAGGGCACGUAGGCGGUGAAUAGGGUUGAAAGUGAAAGUCGCCAAAAAGUGGCGGAAUGCUCUCGAAACCAAUUCACUUGAGUGAGACAGAGGAGAGUGGAAUUUCGUGUGUAGGGGUGAAAUCCGUAGAUCUACGAAGGAACGCCAAAAGCGAAGGCAGCUCGCUGGAACGUUACUGACGCUGAGAUGCGAAAGCGUGGGGAGCAAACAGG
Molecule: ribosomal RNA, 251 nt
Filed under: uncultured bacterium
Lineage: Bacteria
Description: partial 16S ribosomal RNA
Rfam family: Bacterial small subunit ribosomal RNA
Source: RNAcentral